Molecule: ribosomal RNA, 277 nt
Filed under: uncultured Lachnospiraceae bacterium
Lineage: Bacteria; Bacillati; Bacillota; Clostridia; Lachnospirales; Lachnospiraceae
Description: partial 16S ribosomal RNA
Rfam family: Bacterial small subunit ribosomal RNA (bases 38-277)
Source: RNAcentral
AUUUCCUUCGGGACUGAUUAUUUUGUGACUGAGUGGCGGACGGGUGAGUAACGCGUGGGUAACCUGCCUCACACAGGGGGAUAACAGUUAGAAAUGACUGCUAAUACCGCAUAAGCGCACGGUCUCGCAUGGGACAGUGUGAAAAAACUCUGGUGGUGUGAGAUGGACCCGCGUCUGAUUAGCUAGUUGGUGGGGUAACGGCCCACCAAGGCGACGAUCAGUAGCCGGCCUGAGAGGGCGGACGGCCACAUUGGGACUGAGACACGGCCCAAACUCC